Molecule: ribosomal RNA, 464 nt
Filed under: uncultured bacterium
Lineage: Bacteria
Description: partial 16S ribosomal RNA
Rfam family: Bacterial small subunit ribosomal RNA
Source: RNAcentral
GACGAACGCUGGCGGCGUGCUUAACACAUGCAAGUCGAACGGAAAGGCCCUGCUUGCAGGGUACUCGAGUGGCGAACGGGUGAGUAACACGUGGGUGAUCUGCCCUGCACUUCGGGAUAAGCCUGGGAAACUGGGUCUAAUACCGGAUAGGAGCCAUUUUUAGUGUGAUGGUUGGAAAGUUUUUUCGGUGUAGGAUGAGCUCGCGGCCUAUCAGCUUGUUGGUGGGGUAAUGGCCUACCAAGGCGGCGACGGGUAGCCGGCCCGAGAGGGUGGACGGCCAAAUGGGGAGGGUGAUACGGCCCGGACCCCUACGGGAGGAUGAGGUGGGGAAUAUUGCCAAAAGGGGGAAAGCCGGGUGCAGGAAGGCCGCGUGGGGGGUUGUGGCCUGCGGGUUGAAAACUCCUUUCCCUAGGGAGGAAGCUUUUUGGAACGGUACCUAAAAAAAAAGCACGGGUAAACUCGGU